Molecule: ribosomal RNA, 745 nt
Filed under: Bifidobacterium breve
Lineage: Bacteria; Bacillati; Actinomycetota; Actinomycetes; Bifidobacteriales; Bifidobacteriaceae
Description: bacterial SSU rRNA
Rfam family: Bacterial small subunit ribosomal RNA
Source: RNAcentral
GCUUAACACAUGCAAGUCGAACGGGAUCCAUCGGGCUUUGCUUGGUGGUGAGAGUGGCGAACGGGUGAGUAAUGCGUGACCGACCUGCCCCAUGCACCGGAAUAGCUCCUGGAAACGGGUGGUAAUGCCGGAUGCUCCAUCACACCGCAUGGUGUGUUGGGAAAGCCUUUGCGGCAUGGGAUGGGGUCGCGUCCUAUCAGCUUGAUGGCGGGGUAACGGCCCACCAUGGCUUCGACGGGUAGCCGGCCUGAGAGGGCGACCGGCCACAUUGGGACUGAGAUACGGCCCAGACUCCUACGGGAGGCAGCAGUGGGGAAUAUUGCACAAUGGGCGCAAGCCUGAUGCAGCGACGCCGCGUGAGGGAUGGAGGCCUUCGGGUUGUAAACCUCUUUUGUUAGGGAGCAAGGCACUUUGUGUUGAGUGUACCUUUCGAAUAAGCACCGGCUAACUACGUGCCAGCAGCCGCGGUAAUACGUAGGGUGCAAGCGUUAUCCGGAAUUAUUGGGCGUAAAGGGCUCGUAGGCGGUUCGUCGCGUCCGGUGUGAAAGUCCAUCGCUUAACGGUGGAUCCGCGCCGGGUACGGGCGGGCUUGAGUGCGGUAGGGGAGACUGGAAUUCCCGGUGUAACGGUGGAAUGUGUAGAUAUCGGGAAGAACACCAAUGGCGAAGGCAGGUCUCUGGGCCGUUACUGACGCUGAGGAGCGAAAGCGUGGGGAGCGAACAGGAUUAGAUACCCUGGUAGUCCA